GACGAACGCUGGCGGCGUGCCUAAUACAUGCAAGUCGAACGCACAGUUUAUACCCUUGCUUGCUAGACCAUAACCUGUGAGUUGCGAACGGGUGAGUAACGCGUAGGUAAUCUGCCUGGCAGCGGUGGAUAACAAUUGGAAACGAUACCUAAUACCGCAUAAUAUUGAUUAUUGCAAGAUAAUUGAUUGAAAUAUGCUAUUCAAUCACUACCAGCUGGCCUUGCGUUGUAUUAGCUAGUAGGUGAGGUAACGGCUCACCUAGGCGACGAUGCAUAGCCGACCUGAGAGGGUGAUCGGCCACACUGGGACUGAGACACGGGCCAGAAUCCUACGGGAGGCAGCAGUAGGGAAUCUUCGGCAAUGGACGAAAGUCUGACCGAGCAACGCCGCGUGAGUGAAGAAGGUGUUCGGAUCGUAAAGCUCUGUUAUUAGUGAAGAACAGGUGUGAAAGUGGAAAGGUCACACUGGAGCGGGAUCUGACAAUAAACGGAGGCCUAACUACGU
RNAcentral lists this ribosomal RNA (504 nucleotides) under uncultured bacterium. RNAcentral describes it as "partial 16S ribosomal RNA". It matches the Rfam family "Bacterial small subunit ribosomal RNA", at positions 28 to 506 of the family's 1533-position model. The record is from RNAcentral.